RNAcentral lists this ribosomal RNA (429 nucleotides) under Acidobacteriota bacterium. RNAcentral describes it as "Acidobacteria bacterium partial 16S ribosomal RNA". It matches the Rfam family "Bacterial small subunit ribosomal RNA", at positions 355 to 776 of the family's 1533-position model. The record is from RNAcentral. Lineage: Bacteria; Pseudomonadati; Acidobacteriota.
UGGGGAAUUUUGGACAAUGGGGGAAACCCUGAUCCAGCCAUCCCUCGUGUGCGAUGAAGGCCUUCGGGUUGUAAAGCACUUUUGGCAGGAAAGAAACGUCAUGGGUUAAUACCCCGUGAAACUGACGGUACCUGCAGAAUAAACACCGGCUAACUACGUGCCAGCAGCCGCGGUAAUACGUAGGGUGCAAGCGUUAAUCGGAAUUACUGGGCGUAAAGCGUGCGCAGGCGGUUCGGAAAGAAAGAUGUGAAAUCCCAGAGCUCAACUUUGGAACUUCAUUUUUAACUACCUGGCUAGAGUGUGUCAGAGGGAGGUGGAAUUCCGCGUGUAGCAGUGAAAUGCGUAGAUAUGCGGAGGAACACCGAUGGCGAAGGCAGCCUCCUGGGAUAACACUAACGCUCAUGAACGAAAGCGUGGGGAGCAAACAGG